Long non-coding RNA from Gadus macrocephalus (Pacific cod), 553 nucleotides. RefSeq lists it as uncharacterized. The transcript is spliced from 2 exons. NCBI's taxonomy places the organism in Eukaryota, Metazoa, Chordata, Actinopteri, Gadiformes, Gadidae. The record is from RefSeq and is a predicted model, not a curated record.
UGCGGUCUUCCGGAUGAUCCGAAACUAAAGCAACAGAAAGUAGCUGUUGAUGAACCCUGAAGCGUCCCUCGACGACAGCGAGCCAAACUAUCUUUAAUCUCAAGGCCAUGAGGCUGAAUCAGCCCCCUGUGAGAUUCAGUCUGUGAGACACGAUUCAAUGUUGAAGCCUUACAAUUACUACUCCUUCAUGCCUCUGUUAUAUAAGUAUUUAACAUCCAUGUUCUAUGCUUUUAAAAGCCAAUAACGUGUGGGAGGGUUAGACAGUCCCUCUACCAGCUCAACGUUGGGAUAGCUUUAUGUUGUACGGAGAACUCCCCUGGUACUGCCCAGUAUCUCUUACCCAGGAAGGCUUUAGGACGUUCCUCCUGGCUAUUCUUGGACAGCCCCAUUGGGAGUAGAACCAUGGUGGGGAGGAGAGAGUGGACGACCAGCCCAGGAAGCUGUGGCGAUACACACACACACACACACACACACACACACACACACACACACACACACACACACACAUACACAUACACAUACACAUACACAUGCACACACACACACACACAAA